Molecule: ribosomal RNA, 1790 nt
Filed under: Uleiella chilensis
Lineage: Eukaryota; Fungi; Basidiomycota; Ustilaginomycetes; Uleiellales; Uleiellaceae
Description: eukaryotic LSU rRNA
Rfam family: Eukaryotic small subunit ribosomal RNA (bases 1-526)
Source: RNAcentral
UGGCCGUUCUUAGUUGGUGGAGUGAUUUGUCUGGUUAAUUCCGAUAACGAACGAGACCUUAACCUGCUAAAUAGCCCGGCCGACUUUGGUUGGUCGCUGGCUUCUUAGAGGGACUAUUAGCGUUUAGCUAAUGGAAGUUUGAGGCAAUAACAGGUCUGUGAUGCCCUUAGAUGUUCUGGGCCGCACGCGCGCUACACUGACGGAGCCAACGAGUUUUUUCCUUGUCCGGAAGGACUGGGUAAUCUUGUGAAACUUCGUCGUGCUGGGGAUAGAGCAUUGCAAUUAUUGCUCUUCAACGAGGAAUUCCUAGUAAGCGUGAGUCAUCAGCUCGCGUUGAUUACGUCCCUGCCCUUUGUACACACCGCCCGUCGCUACUACCGAUUGAAUGGCUUAGUGAGCCCUUGGGAUCGGCGUUUGGAAGCUGGCAACAGCAUCCGAUUGCUGAAAACUUGUGCAAACUUGGUCAUUUAGAGGAAGUAAAAGUCGUAACAAGGUUUCUGUAGGUGAACCUGCAGAAGGAUCAUUAGUGAAUAACUCGAGGUUUCCACUCUGUGGACCUCAACCUUAAACACCAUAUCCUAACACCUGUGCACAUUUGCCGUUGUCGAACGAGGUUUUCCAAUGUGAGAUUUCUGAAGGCAACGGCUACUUAACAAUUAUAAAAACCCUGAGUAUCUUUGAAUGUCUAAAUUGAAACUUGCCUUUAUGGCAAUAAAGUAAAAUACAACUUUCAACAACGGAUCUCUUGGUUCUCCCAUCGAUGAAGAACGCAGCGAAACGCGAUAGGUAAUGUGAAUUGCAGAAUUCAGUGAAUCAUCGAAUCUUUGAACGCACCUUGCGCUCCUUGGUAUUCCUCGGAGCAUGCCUGUUUGAGUGUCAUGAAUCCUUCAAACCCCAUCUGUUUUUAACGAAACGGAUGCUUGGGUUUGGUCGUGAGUACUUUGCCUAGACAUCACAGUCUUGGGCUUGCUCUAAAUGUAUUAGCUGGACCUGCUCUUGUGUGCAGUACCCCCCUUGCUCAGCGUGAUAAGUCAUUUGCUGAACAUGGUUGUGGUCGAUACUUGAGCAACUAACUGGUCUGCUUCUAACCGGCGCAAGCCAAACUAUAUUUCAUGUUCUGGCCUCAAAUCAGGUAGGAUUACCCGCUGAACUUAAGCAUAUCAAUAAGCGGAGGAAAAGAAACUAACAAGGAUUCCCCUAGUAACGGCGAGUGAAGCGGGAAGAGCUCAAAUUUGAAAGCUGGCACCUUCGGUGUCCGCGUUGUAAUCUGGAGAGGUGUUUUCCGUGUUGGACCAAGUACAAGUUCCUUGGAAUAGGACGUCGUAGAGGGUGAGAAUCCCGUACUUGACUUGGAUGCCCAAUGCUUUGUGAUACGCCCUCGACGAGUCGAGUUGUUUGGGAAUGCAGCUCAAAACGGGUGGUAAAUUCCAUCUAAAGCUAAAUAUUGGGGAGAGACCGAUAGCGAACAAGUACCGUGAGGGAAAGAUGAAAAGCACUUUGGAAAGAGAGUUAAACAGUACGUGAAAUUGUUGAAAGGGAAGGGCAUGAAGUCAGACAUGCUAGUUGAGAUUCAGCCUUGCUUUUGCUUGGUGUAUUUCUUAGCUAGCAGGCCAGCAUCGGUUUCGGCUGUCGGAUAAGGGUAGAGGGAAUGUGGCACCUUCGGGUGUGUUAUAGCCCUUUACUGGAUACGGCUGCUGGGACCGAGGAACGCAGCGCGCCCUUGUGGCAGGCCUUUCGGGGUACUUUCGCGCUUAGGAUGCUGGCGUAAUGGCUUUAUGCCGCCCGUCUUG